This 349-nucleotide ribosomal RNA is filed under the name uncultured Mycobacterium sp. RNAcentral's name for it is "bacterial SSU rRNA". It matches the Rfam family "Bacterial small subunit ribosomal RNA", at positions 8 to 359 of the family's 1533-position model. The record is from RNAcentral. Lineage: Bacteria; Bacillati; Actinomycetota; Actinomycetes; Mycobacteriales; Mycobacteriaceae.
AGAGUUUGAUCCUGGCUCAGGACGAACGCUGGCGGCGUGCUUAACACAUGCAAGUCGAACGGAAAGGUCUCUUCGGAGAUACUCGAGUGGCGAACGGGUGAGUAACACGUGGGUAAUCUGCCCUGCACUUCGGGAUAAGCCUGGGAAACUGGGUCUAAUACCGAAUAGGACCACUUGGCGCAUGCCUUGUGGUGGAAAGCUUUUGCGGUGUGGGAUGGGCCCGCGGCCUAUCAGCUUGUUGGUGGGGUGAUGGCCUACCAAGGCGACGACGGGUAGCCGGCCUGAGAGGGUGUCCGGCCACACUGGGACUGAGAUACGGCCCAGACUCCUACGGGAGGCAGCAGAAGGG